This 502-nucleotide ribosomal RNA is filed under the name uncultured bacterium. RNAcentral describes it as "bacterial SSU rRNA". It matches the Rfam family "Bacterial small subunit ribosomal RNA", at positions 17 to 518 of the family's 1533-position model. The record is from RNAcentral.
UCCUGGCUCAGGAUGAACGCUGGCGGCGUGCCUAACACAUGCAAGUCGAGCGGGCCUGAUAAAGUGAUUAGCUUGCUAAGAACUUAUGACUGGUUAGCGGCGGACGGGUGAGUAACGCGUGGGUAACCUGCCUCAUACAGAGGGAUAGCAGUUGGAAACGACUGGUAAUACCGCAUAAGCGCACAGUACCGCAUGGUACAGUGUGAAAAACUCCGGUGGUAUGAGAUGGACCCGCGUCCGAUUAGCCAGUUGGCGGGGUAACGGCCCACCAAAGCGACGAUCGGUAGCCGGCCUGAGAGGGCGGACGGCCACAUUGGGACUGAGACACGGCCCAGACUCCUACGGGAGGCAGCAGUGGGGGAUAUUGCACAAUGGAGGAAACUCUGAUGCCAGCGACGCCGCGUGGGUGAAGAAGUAUUUCGGUAUGUAAAGCCCUAUCAGCAGGGACGAUAAUGACGGUACCUGACUAAGAAGCCCCGGCUAACUACGUGCCAGCCGCAGC